AGGGCCACAUCCAGCGAACGAAGGGGCCGAGCCAGCGUCCACCUACAACGUUGCAACCUCAGUCGCCUUCCCUUCUCCCACCUAAGGAACCCUAGCCGCCGCCUCCUCCUCCUUCCAGGUCCCACCUCAGCCGCCUCCCACAUCCCCCCUCUCCCUCUCCCCCCGUCUCGUCUGCUCCGGGUGCGGAGGCGAGCUUCUCAGCGAUUGUGGCGCUGGCUCGAGGUGGGCACGCAGCCACUCCUUCUCUCCCUUCCACCGCCGCUCGUCGCAGCUCCUCCUCCCCGCCUAGCAGCGGCCAGAGAAGGGCUGCUCCGCCGCCCCGCCUCAUCUCCUCUUCCUCUCAUUCUGAGGGUGCCAGGAGCAUGGCCUCAAUCUGGAGCAGGAGAGGCCGGGAGUGAUAUGGGAGCAGCUCGGCUCCACCCCGAUGGUGACCGAUGCGCUCAGACUUUUGGCCCGGUCUCGCUGCCGCGCGCAGUCCACCUCUCCCCGCAGGCAUGCCGGCCACCUCCCCACCUGACGCACAUCUUCCCCAUGGGGCAAUGGAACACGGUGAGCAGUAGGUAGGAGCGUGCGGUGCUGAGAAGGCCGGCUCCGUCCUGCUCUUGUGCCACCGCCGACCCACCCGAGAAGCCCGUCCACACACCCGUCGGCUCCUCCUCAGCUCGUUCCCAUCUCUGGCAGGCAGGUGAGCUCCUGCUUCCUCUCCCUGUUUCCCUUUGAUUUUGUGCUGGCGUUGUACUGUGUGUUUAUGUUGUUGCUUUGUGAGAUAUGGCUACUACUUGUGCUGCUACAUGUGUGUGUUGCUGGUUCUGGUGCUGCAAAGCCUGGCUGCUGUUUGUCCUGACGCUUUGUGCUACUAGUUGCUGCUGGUUGCUUGUGUUGCUGGUAUGUGCUACACUGCUGCUACUUGCUGUUUGUUGCUUCCUUGUUUGGUUAUUUGUGAAACUGAAAUUCUUUGUGAAAAGAAAAUUUUGAAGAUAAGGCUAUAAGCUGAUGAGCUGACCUUCAUUUCCAUUUUUUAUUUAAUAAUUGAUGAAGGAUAUGUCAUAUAUUCAGUUGCUAACAUUUUCUCUCUAUGGUAUAAGAGAGGCUUCGGAUGCGAAGGCAGUAGCACGCAGCGCCAGAUCGAGCGCACAUACCUCGACGACAAGAGACCACGAGUUCCAUGCAUUUUGAAGCUACGACCGCUAGAAACCAGUGAAGAAUGAAGAAAGGAGGAUCUACCAGCAGCUUCGAGUAGGAGGAUGAGAUCUCGAUGGAGUUCAUGUUUCAGCAACCGUAGUAGCGCAUCCUCUGACCUCGACCUAGUCCGCCGUGAUGGAAAACGUUAAUAUUCCAACAAAAGUGCUUCCGGAUGCUACGAUGAGAUAGCGCUUGGCCUUCCAAGUGCAGCUAACUCAACACACAAGGCAAGGACCUCGAGGCAAGUGUUUAAUUCUAUCCAUUGAGUACCAGCUAAAUAAUGAACUUGCAAAGACAUUAAUAUCCAUCUAUGUCUAUGAAACUGCCCGAGGCUGAAGAUUGGCUGGCAGACGAACCUCUUAAAUACAUGGAAGUCUCUUACAACAAAGUGCUGCAAGACAUCAAUUAUGAUAAGUUGCAGUUGGUUGAACAAAAAGUAAUUCUCUGGAACACGAGCUGAAAGAAAAAGAUGGAAUCAUAGACUAUUUGAGGAGCAGCUGGUGGAUGAUGUCUAUGGAAGACAUUUCUGCUUUUGCCAAUCACAACCGGCCGCAACACACCCACCAUGAAGAGCAGCUUAGAUGAUGAGGUAAUUUUCGACACGGCUGGUACAUGCGCUACCUAAUCUAAAUACUGCAUAUCUUAGUUACCAUAAGCUGGGUGAUCAAAGCUAUCUAUAUGAUGCACCUCUGCCUAUUAGCUAAUCUCAUCCCUUUCUUUUGGCCUAUGUUCUUAUUUGACAAAGCUGAAGGAAGCACGUCCAGAUUGGUACUCUGGAUGGUGAGGUUAGAUUAAUUGACCACAAUUUCUAUUGACUUUUCCUGUACACAAUGUUCACAAGUUCAUGUAUUAAGUACAUUUUAGCGUGUCACUUGUGUUUACUCUUUUUUUAAUGCAAGUUUACAGCUACUCGGAGUUCCUAAUUGCAGACUCAACUAUCUUGACCUACCGAUGAUCUAAUUUGUGGCAUUAUUACCUUAAGAAAAUAUUUGCAUUUAAUUUCCUUUGUAUAUAGGGGUAUAAGUUCUUACCAAAUGUACUCAAAUAUACAGUUAUUAAAAAAAUGUAAAUAUUUUCA
This is a long non-coding RNA of Triticum dicoccoides, 2260 nucleotides long. RefSeq lists it as uncharacterized. The transcript is spliced from 3 exons. NCBI's taxonomy places the organism in Eukaryota, Viridiplantae, Streptophyta, Magnoliopsida, Poales, Poaceae. The record is from RefSeq and is a predicted model, not a curated record.